GUUAUAGGGUCAAGCGAACAAGUGCAUGUGGUGGAUGCCUUGGCGAUCACAGGCGAUGAAGGACGCGGUAGCCUGCGAAAAGCUACGGGGAGCUGGCAAACGAGCUUUGAUCCGUAGAUGUCCGAAUGGGGAAACCCACCUCUUUUGAGGUAUCCGUGGCUGAAUACAUAGGCCACGCGAAGCGAACGCGGUGAACUGAAACAUCUAAGUAACCGCAGGAAAAGAAAUCAACCGAGAUUCCCAGAGUAGUGGCGAGCGAAAUGGGACCAGCCUGUACUCUUUAUCUUCAUUGUUAGUCGAAGGCUCUGGAAAGUGCCGCCAUAGCAGGUGAUAGCCCUGUAGACGAAAACAGCGAGGAAGAACUAGGUGUACGACAAGUAGGGCGGGACACGUGAAAUCCUGUCUGAAGAUGGGGGGACCAUCCUCCAAGGCUAAAUACUCGUGAUCGACCGAUAGUGAACCAGUACCGUGAGGGAAAGGCGAAAAGAACCCCGGGAGGGGAGUGAAACAGAUCCUGAAACCGCAUGCAUACAAACAGUCGGAGCCUUUGAAAGAGGGUGACGGCGUACCUUUUGUAUAAUGGGUCAGCGACUUACAUUCAGUGGCAAGCUUAACCGAUUAGGGCAGGCGUAGCGAAAGCGAGUCCGAACAGGGCGUUCAGUCGCUGGGUGUAGACCCGAAACCAGGUGAUCUAUCCAUGGCCAGGAUGAAGGUGCGGUAACACGUACUGGAGGUCCGAACCCACUAACGUUGAAAAGUUAGGGGAUGAGCUGUGGAUAGGGGUGAAAGGCUAAACAAACCUGGAAAUAGCUGGUUCUCUCCGAAAACUAUUUAGGUAGUGCCUCGUGUAUCACCUUCGGGGGUAGAGCACUGUCAUGGUUGUGGGGUCCAUUGCGGAUUACUACGCCAUAGCAAACUCCGAAUACCGAAGAGUGCAAUCACGGGAGACAGACAUCGGGUGCUAACGUCCGGUGUCAAGAGGGAAACAACCCAGACCGCCAGCUAAGGUCCCCAAAUAUGGCUAAGUGGGAAACGAAGUGGGAAGGCUAAAACAGUCAGGAGGUUGGCUUAGAAGCAGCCAUCCUUUAAAGAAAGCGUAAUAGCUCACUGAUCGAGUCGUCCUGCGCGGAAGAUGUAACGGGGCUAAGCCAUAUACCGAAGCUGCGGAUGCACAUUUAUGUGCAUGGUAGGAGAGCGUUCCGUAAGCCUGCGAAGGUGCACUGGAAAGUGUGCUGGAGGUAUCGGA
Molecule: ribosomal RNA, 1246 nt
Filed under: Mesorhizobium sp.
Lineage: Bacteria; Pseudomonadati; Pseudomonadota; Alphaproteobacteria; Hyphomicrobiales; Phyllobacteriaceae
Description: partial 23S ribosomal RNA
Rfam family: Bacterial large subunit ribosomal RNA
Source: RNAcentral